Molecule: ribosomal RNA, 1236 nt
Filed under: metagenome
Description: bacterial LSU rRNA
Rfam family: Bacterial large subunit ribosomal RNA
Source: RNAcentral
UGAGUACGAGAUGCUACGGCAUCGAAGCAGUCUAUGUCAUACUUCCAAGAAAAGCUUGCACUGUCAGAAACAGAUAAUGCCUGUACCAUAACCGACACAGGUGGGUAGGUAGAGUAUACUAAGGGGCGCGAGAUAACUCUCUCUAAGGAACUCGGCAAAAUGACUCCGUAACUUCGGGAGAAGGAGUGCCUUAUUUUUAAGGUUGCAAUAACAAGAUCCAAGCAACUGUUUACCAAAAACACAGGUCUCCGCUAAGUCGUAAGACGAUGUAUGGGGGCUGACGCCUGCCCAGUGCCAGAAGGUUAAAGAAGUCGGUUAGCAUUCGCGAAGCUGGUAACUGAAGCCCUGGUGAACGGCGGCCGUAACAAUAACGGUCCUAAGGUAGCGAAAUUCCUUGUCGGGUAAGUUCCGACCCGCACGAAAGGCGUAAUGAUUUGGAUACUGUCUCGGAGAGGGGCUCGGUGAAAUAGACUUGUCUGUGAAGAUGCGGACUACCUGCACCUGGACAGAAAGACCCUAUGAAGCUUUACUGUAACUUGAAAUUGAAAUUGGACUUUAUUUGCGCAGUAUAGGUGGGAGGCGUUGAAAAUAUUCUUGCGGGAAUAUUGGAGCCAUCAGUGAGAUACCACUCUUGUAAUGUUAGAUUUCUAACUUUAUAUCAUUAUCUGGUUAAAGAACAGUUUCAGGCGGGCAGUUUGACUGGGGCGGUCGCCUCCCAAAUGGUAACGGAGGCGCACAAAGGUUUCCCCUGAACGGGUAGAAAUCGUAUCUAGAGUGUAAAGGCAUAAGGAAGCUUGACUGUGAGACCUACAAGUCGAGCAGGGACGAAAGUCGGUCUUAGUGAUCUGACGGUGCUGAGUGGAAAGGCCGUCACUCAACGGAUAAAAGUUACUCUAGGAUAACAGGCUGAUCUCCCCCAAGAGUUCACAUCGACGGGGAGGUUUGGCACCUCGAUGUCGGCUCAUCGCAUCCUGGGGCGGUAGUACGUCCCAAGGGUUGGGCUGUUCGCCCAUGAAAGCGGUACGCGAGCUGGGUUCAGAACGUCGUGAGACAGUUCGGUCCAUAUCCGGUGUAGGCGUUAGAAUAUUGAGAGGAGCCUUCUUUAGUACGAGAGGACCGAGAAGGACAUACCUCUGGUGUACCAGUUAUCGUGCCAACGGUAAACGCUGGGUAGCUAUGUAUGGAGUGGAUAACCGCUGAAAGCAUCUAAGUGGGAAGCCCACCUCAAGAUAAGUA